GGCGGCGUGGAUUAGGCAUGCAAGUCGAACGCGAAAGGUCACCUUCGGGUGAACGAGUAGAGUGGCGAACUGGUGAGUAACAGGUGGGUAAUGUGCCUCUUAGUGUGGGAUAACCUCUGGAAACAGUGGCUAAUACCUCAUGUGGCACGGUUAACGUUGGUUGACCGUGUUAAAGACUUCGGUCGCUAAGAGAGCAGCCCGCCCCCGAUUAGCUUGUUGGUAGGGUAACGGCCUACCAAGGCUCCGAUCGGUAGGUGGCCUGAGAGGGUGGUCACUCACACUGGGACUGAGAUACGGCCCAGACUCCUACGGGGGGCAGCAGUCUAGAAGCUUCCACAAUGGACGAAAGUCUGAUGGAGCGACGCCGCGUGUGGGAUGACAGCCGUGAGGUUGUAAACCACUGUCAGCAGGGAAGAAUGCCUUGAUGGUGAAUCAGGGAGAGACGGUACCUGCAGAGGAAGCCCCGGCUAACUCCGUGCCAGCAGCCGCGGUAAUACGGAGGGGGCAAACGUUGUUCGGAUUUACUGGGCGUAAAGGGUGUCUAGGCGGUUCGAUUAGUCUGGUGUGAAAUAUCCUCGCUCAACGAGGAAAACGCAUUGGAAACUGUCGAGCUCGAGAGUGGAAGAGGCAGGUGGAAUUUCUGGUGUAGCGGUGGAAUGCGUAGAUAUCAGAAAGAACACUCGUGGCGAAGGCGGCCUGCUGGUCCAUUUCUGACGCUGAAGCACGAAAGCUAGGGGAGCGAACGGGAUUAGAUACCCCGGUAGUCCUAGCCGUAAACGUUGAACACUGGAUGUCGGGGGUAUCGACCCCCUCGGUGUCGGAGCUAACGCGUUAAGUGUUCCGCCUGGGGAGUACGACCGCAAGGUUGAAACUCAAAGGAAUUGACGGGGGCCCGCACAAGCGGUGGAGGAUGUGGUUUAAUUCGACGCAACGCGAAGAACCUUACCUGGGCUUAAACCGCAGGGUAAACCCUCUGAAAGGAGGGCUGCUUCGGCAAUCCUGUAGAGGUGCUGCAUGGCUGUCGUCAGCUCGUGUCGUGAGAUGUUGGGUUAAGUCCCGCAACGAGCGCAACCCUUGCUCUUAGUUACCAGCGCGUAAUGGCGGGGACUCUAAGAGGACUGCCCUCGCAAGGGGGAGGAAGGUGGGGAUGACGUCAAGUCCUCAUGGCCCUUAUG
This 1175-nucleotide ribosomal RNA is filed under the name uncultured organism. Its description in RNAcentral is "bacterial SSU rRNA". It matches the Rfam family "Bacterial small subunit ribosomal RNA", at positions 38 to 1206 of the family's 1533-position model. The record is from RNAcentral.